UAAUGUCUGGGAAACUGCCUGAUGGAGGGGGAUAACUACCGGAAACGGUAGCUAAUACCGCAUAACGUCGCAAGACCAAAGAGGGGGACCUUCGGGCCUCUUGCCAUCGGAUGUGCCCAGAUGGGAUUAGCUAGUAGGUGAGGUAACGGCUCACCUAGGCGACGAUCCCUAGCUGGUCUGAGAGGAUGACCAGCCACACUGGAACUGAGACACGGUCCAGACUCCUACGGGAGGCAGCAUG
Molecule: ribosomal RNA, 241 nt
Filed under: uncultured bacterium
Lineage: Bacteria
Description: partial 16S ribosomal RNA
Rfam family: Bacterial small subunit ribosomal RNA
Source: RNAcentral